GAGUGGCCGCUGGCGGUCGGCCUACCACAUGCAAGUCGAACGGCAGCACAGUAAGAGCUUGCUCUUACGGGUGGCGAGUGGCGGACGGGUGAGGAAUACAUCGGAAUCUACUUUUUCGUGGGGGAUAACGUAGGGAAACUUACGCUAAUACCGCAUACGACCUACGGGUGAAAGCAGGGGAUCUUCGGACCUUGCGCGAUUGAAUGAGCCGAUGUCGGAUUAGCUAGUUGGCGGGGUAAAGGCCCACCAAGGCGACGAUCCGUAGCUGGUCUGAGAGGAUGAUCAGCCACACUGGAACUGAGACACGGUCCAGACUCCUACGGGAGGCAGCAGUGGGGAAUAUUGGACAAUGGGCGCAAGCCUGAUCCAGCCAUACCGCGUGGGUGAAGAAGGCCUUCGGGUUGUAAAGCCCUUUUGUUGGGAAAGAAAAGCAGCAGGUUAAUACCCCGCUGUUCUGACGGUACCCAAAGAAUAAGCACCGGCUAACUUCGUG
This 493-nucleotide ribosomal RNA is filed under the name uncultured bacterium. RNAcentral describes it as "partial 16S ribosomal RNA". It matches the Rfam family "Bacterial small subunit ribosomal RNA", at positions 27 to 507 of the family's 1533-position model. The record is from RNAcentral.